Molecule: non-coding RNA, 309 nt
Organism: Cinara cedri
Lineage: Eukaryota; Metazoa; Arthropoda; Insecta; Hemiptera; Aphididae
Source: the annotation of a GenBank genome assembly
CGGACGUUUUGGUGUGAAAUUCAUAUUAAAAUGAAUGAUAUUAUCAUGAUAGUGAUAUUUACUAAAUACAUAUAUUCUAAUUAAGUAAAUCCGUUAUGUGCAGUAAACGGAUUUUUAACAUUUAUACACGGCGAAAAUGAAUCGAUACUUGAGAGGUUGUGAUAACCGCACUGUUAUAACAUUACUGAUUCCGUCAGUAAUAAUAUUUACUUUCUGGCAGACGCGAGAAUUCAGGAGGGAAAUAAGUACUACUAAGGGCUUAUGAAGUUAUUAAGUUCUCAAUGAAAUAGAAAAACAUUUAUAAAUGUA